AUGGCAAAGUUUUCUCCACCCGAAAGUUUUGACUUCAGUCAUCCCGAGCUCUGGCCUGAAUGGAAGCAGCGUUUUCACAGAUUCCGAAUAGCCACGAAGCUGGACAAAGAGUCGGGAGAAGUUAAAGUUUGUACGCUUUUAUAUUCUCUUGGGAAGGAGGCAGAACACAUCGUCAGUACAUUUGUGUAUGCAGCGGAUGGCGACGAGAAUAGGUACGACAUAGUUUUAGAAAAGUUGAACAAUUACUUUGUGCCUAAAGUCAAUGUGAUUCAUGAACGGGCGAGAUUUUAUCAGCGUGUUCAAAAGCAGGGUGAAAGCGUGGAAGAAUUCAUUCGUAGCUUACAUGAACUGGCUGAAACAUGCGCAUUUGGAGAAGCUAAAAGUGAAAAUAUAAGAGACAGACUGGUGAUUGGUGUUCUGGAUAAAGAGAUGUCCCAAAGAUUACAAAUGAUGUCUGACUUGUCGCUUGAGAGAGCAUGUAGGCACGCACGGCAAUCGGAACAGAUAAAAAGUCAUGUUUCCGAACAGACUAGCUCUUCAGCAUUGAAUGAAGUCGUACGGAGAAAGCACAGUGCAUCAUUUCGACCAAAAGGAGCUUUCAAGCCAGAAAGCAGAGAGAGAAAAUGGACACAGAGAACAAAUAGCCAGAAAAACACACGAUUAAAUGACCCAAUUGAGGGGAAAUGCAUGCGUUGUGGCAAACAACAUCCAAAGAGCGUCAACUGCCCAGCGAGAAUAGCAGAGUGUCGAAAGUGCGGUAAGAGAGGCCAUUAUGCUAUUGUGUGUCGUACUCUACAUGUUAGUGAUGUAAAUGUAGUGCAGGACGAGCACGAAGAUUCGUUUUUCCUUGGAGCAAUCACAGUAAAGGACUCAAGUGACGCAUGGUCCAUAACCUUGAGGAUUCAAGAUACGGACGUGGAGUUUAAGAUAGACACUGGCGCAGACAUUAGUGUUAUAUCGGAACAAACUUAUAAAGCUCUCAACACAAGGCCUAACUUAAUGUUCGUGAAUGCAGCGCUGGAUUGUCCAGGAGGGAAAUUAAGAAGUUCAGGAAGAUUUGAGACAAGCACGCACCACAAGGGAAACAAGUACUGCUUUACUGUUUUUGUCAUAACAGGUCAGUCUGUUAAUAAUUUGCUGAGUCGAGAAGUUUCUGCUGCCCUGGGGUUAGUUCAACGGAUUGACGACGUGAGUUCACCCGGUGAGUCGGUUGGACUUUUGAAAACCGCUCCUGUGAAAAUCAAGCUGAAAGCAGACGCAGUCCCAUAUGCCAUUACGACAGCCAGGAGAGUGUCGGUUCCCUUACUUUCUAAGGUGAAAGCUGAACUAGACAGAAUGGUGAAGUGUGGCGUGAUUGAAGAAAUUAAAGAGCCUACUGAAUGGUGUGCAUCGAUGGUGCCUGUGCCUAGGAAGAAUGGCCAGGUGAGAAUAUGUGUAGGCCUAAAUCGUUUAAACCAAGCAGUCGAA
Molecule: long non-coding RNA, 1467 nt
Organism: Cyprinus carpio (common carp)
Lineage: Eukaryota; Metazoa; Chordata; Actinopteri; Cypriniformes; Cyprinidae
Source: Ensembl